This 253-nucleotide ribosomal RNA is filed under the name uncultured bacterium. Its description in RNAcentral is "partial 16S ribosomal RNA". It matches the Rfam family "Bacterial small subunit ribosomal RNA", at positions 524 to 776 of the family's 1533-position model. The record is from RNAcentral.
GACGGAGGGUGCAAGCGUUGCUCGGAAUCACUGGGCGUAAAGGGUGCGUAGGCGGCUUGGUCAGUCUGAUGUGAAAGCCCAGGGCCCAGCCUUGGAAGUGCAUUAGAAACUGCCAAGCUAGAGUGCCGGAGGGGAGAGUGGAAUUCCUGGUGUAGCGGUGAAAUGCGUAGAUAUCAGGAGGAAUACCGGUGGCGAAAGCGACUCUCUGGACGGUAACUGACGCUGAGGCACGAAAGCGUGGGGAGCAAACAGG